AAGCUCGUAGUUGAAUUUCGGGAUUAGUACGUGGUCGUGCCUUAGGUACGUACUGGUGUUACUGGUUCCUACCUUCUGACGAACCAUCAUGUCAUUAAUUUGGUGUGGUGGGGAAUCAGGACUGUUACUUUGAAAAAAUUAGAGUGUUUAAAGCAGGCUCGCGCUUGAAUACAUUAGCAUGGAAUAAUGAAAUAGGACGUUGAUCCUAUUUUGUUGGUUUCUAGGAUUGACGUAAUGAUUAAUAGGGAUAGUUGGG
This 256-nucleotide ribosomal RNA is filed under the name uncultured Glomus. RNAcentral describes it as "partial 18S ribosomal RNA". It matches the Rfam family "Eukaryotic small subunit ribosomal RNA", at positions 624 to 886 of the family's 1831-position model. The record is from RNAcentral. Lineage: Eukaryota; Fungi; Glomeromycota; Glomeromycetes; Glomerales; Glomeraceae.